Molecule: ribosomal RNA, 460 nt
Filed under: uncultured bacterium
Lineage: Bacteria
Description: partial 16S ribosomal RNA
Rfam family: Bacterial small subunit ribosomal RNA
Source: RNAcentral
CCUACGGGUGGCAGCAGUGAGGAAUAUUGGUCAAUGGACGAGCGUCUGAACCAGCCAAGUAGCGUGAAGGAUGACUGCCCUAUGGGUUGUAAACUUCUUUUAUAUGGGAAUAACAUGUUCCACGUGUGGGAUUUUGUAUGUACCAUAUGAAUAAGGAUCGGCUAACUCCGUGCCAGCAGCCGCGGUAAUACGGAGGAUCCGAGCGUUAUCCGGAUUUAUUGGGUUUAAAGGGAGCGUAGGUGGAUUGUUAAGUCAGUUGUGAAAGUUUGCGGCUCAACCGUAAAAUUGCAGUUGAAACUGGCAGUCUUGAGUACAGUAGAGGUGGGCGGAAUGCGUGGUGUAGCGGUGAAAUGCUUAGAUAUCACGAAGAACUCCGAUUGCGAAGGCAGUUCACUGGACUGCAACUGACACUGAGGCUCGAAAGUGUGGGUAUCAAACAGGAUUAGAUACCCUUGUAGUC